This 450-nucleotide ribosomal RNA is filed under the name uncultured bacterium. RNAcentral's name for it is "SSU rRNA". It matches the Rfam family "Bacterial small subunit ribosomal RNA", at positions 26 to 518 of the family's 1533-position model. The record is from RNAcentral.
AGAGCGAACGCUGGCGGCAUGCUUAACACAUGCAAGUCGCACGGGCAGGGGAAACCCUGUCAGUGGCGGACGGGUGAGUAACGCGUAGGAAUCUAUCUCUGGGUGGGGGACAACCGUGGGAAACUACGGCUAAUACCGCAUGACACCUGAGGGUCAAAGGCGCAAGUCGCCUGGAGAGGAGCCUGCGUACGAUUAGCUUGUUGGUGGGGUAAAGGCCUACCAAGGCGACGAUCGUUAGCUGGUCUGAGAGGAUGAUCAGCCACAUUGGGACUGAGACACGGCCCAAACUCCUACGGGAGGCAGCAGUGGGGAAUAUUGGACAAUGGGCGAAAGCCUGAUCCAGCAAUGCCGCGUGGGUGAAGAAGGUCUUCGGAUUGUAAAGCCCUUUCGACGGGACGAUGAUGACGGUACCCGUAGAAGAAGCCCGGCUAACUUCGCGCCAGCAGCCGC